Molecule: unclassified non-coding RNA, 261 nt
Filed under: Hevea brasiliensis (rubber tree)
Lineage: Eukaryota; Viridiplantae; Streptophyta; Magnoliopsida; Malpighiales; Euphorbiaceae
Source: RNAcentral
UAUUCAAAUCUACUAAGAAAGUGAUAAUUUGCUAUGGUUCUAAGGCCCUUUACUUCGACUGUCUUGUCGUCAUAAGUUUAUGAUAUCACUUUGGCUUUAAAUAUCGCAUUUCCACUUAGAUUAGCGGGUCGCAUAUUGUUGAUACUUCACAAUAAUAUGACCUUACCAUUAAGGAUAAGCAUGUGGAUAAUUACUUAUCAUGGUGUGAAGACUUGAAUUUCCCCAAAUUAAUUUGAAUUAAGAGGAAUCUUGUUGCCUAGA